Molecule: unclassified non-coding RNA, 2154 nt
Filed under: Cotesia glomerata
Lineage: Eukaryota; Metazoa; Arthropoda; Insecta; Hymenoptera; Braconidae
Description: uncharacterized LOC123260566, transcript variant X1
Source: RNAcentral
UUUCAGAUCGUUUGUUCUUAACAAAAAUAUAAUUGCUCAAGUUUUUAAGUAAUAAUUAUUGCGUUACUUUGAUAUUUCAUCGCCAUGAGUAAACGUAUACGAUAAAAAAGGAGUUAAAGAUUUAAGAAAAUUUCCCGACGAAGAUCGUUGGAAAUUUCCUGACUUAGAUGACACUUCAAUGUUAUGUGUGCGUUGUCGAUUCCGUGUCAAAGAAUAUAUUCCGCCGGCAUCAGAGGAAGAGGAAAUUAUUUCAAGUCAAAUUAGUGUUGAAAGUCUGAGUAUAUCAGCUGAAAUUUGUACUCAAGGAAGCAGUUUAUCUCGAACUGUCAGUAAUUUUAGCGACAAUCUAUGUGAUUACAAUGAUCAUUCUUUAAAGCGAUUUUUGAAAAUUCCUCUUAUUGAAAAAGACAGGUUAUAUUCUGAAAAAAAUUAUGGAGUUAAAAAAACUUGAUGAGAGCUAUACUGCCCUAGAGAAUAAGUUCCAAUCACAAUUUGGAAUAGUACCUGAAUCUACCUACAGAAAGAUUAAUCAAGAUCAUUGUUUCAUGAUAGCUAAAGUGAAGAAAUUAUAUAACGCUGAAAGUGACAAAUCAAUAAAAAAGAAGCUGCUUUCAAUUUUACCCGACAGUUGGGAAGUCAGUCGUAUAGCAUCUGAAUUUAACUGUUCUCGAAAAAUUGUACUGAAUCUUAAAAAUGAUAUCAGUGAAUCUGAGAAUGUUGAUUUAGACUCUGGUGAAAUGACUACUAAUACUUUGAAUCCCACAAAAGUUCCAGGCAAUCAGCUGCUUAAGUUAGAUGUAAAAAAACUUGUCAUUGAUUUUUAUGAAAGCGAAGAAAACUCAAAACAAUUAGCGGGCAUGAAAGAUUUUAAAUCUGUGAAGGAUUGUGAUGGAAAUCGAACUACACAUGUCGUAUGUGUUUGUACUAUUCAUCAAAAUGUAAAAUUGAUGUUAGAAGGAUGUAAUUUUCCAAAAUUUGCGAAAAACACUGACUGGGUUGUAGAAUCUCAGCCAAUUUACAAAAAUUUAUUAAAUAAAUUAGUUUGUAACAAUCCAAAAGAAUCGUGCUUUUCCAGAAUGUGCAAUAGUUGUCCAAAUAAUGAAGAAAUCGCUGAUUAUUUUCGUGUGUCGUUUAUGAAUCUGAUGUUAAUGAAAUCCAAUAUAAAAUGUGGACAUCAACAGACCGUUGUACUAUUGUGAAUGUUACUUCAGAUUCCGAAGACUUCAUCGAGACUUUAGUGACGCAACUUGAUAAGCUUUUGAAACAUGAUUUUAUUGCGAAAACACAAAGUCGAUUUUUUUCUGAUACAAAACUAAAUUUAAAGAGCGGGGAAUUCGCCGUAGUAUUUGACUUUGCGGAAAAUUAUGCAUUCGUUGUGCAGGAAGGAGCUCAAGGCUUUCAUUGGAAUAAUGAUCAAGCUACUAUAUUUCCAAUGGUGAUUUAUUAUAACGAAAAUGAUACUAUUAAGCAUUUGAGCUUUGUUGGUAUUUCAGAUUGUCUUAAGCACGACACAGUUUUAAUUUAUUUAUUUCAAGAGCAAUUGAUUGCCUUUCUUAAAAAGAAGUUUGCUGUCAUCAAUACGAUUUUUUACUUCUCUGAUGGAGCUCCACAACAAUUCAAAAACAAGAAAGCAUUUACAAACUUAUGUUAUCAUUAUGCUGACUUCGAAAUCAACGCUGAGUGGCAUUUUUUUGCAACUGCCCAUGGCAAAGGACCAUGCGAUGGUCUUGCGGGUUCAUUAAAACGAUAUGCUGCUAGAGCUUCAUUACAAAUGAACAAUAAAGAGCAUAUACUGAAACCACAAGAUUUGUUUUCCUGGGGAACGAAAAAUUUUACAAGCGUUGACUUUACUUUCAUAGCUAAUGACGAUUAUUUAAUAAAAAAAAAUGUGUUAGACGUACGAUAUUCUCAAUCGAAAACGGUGAAAGGUACACAGUCAUUAUACACUUUUGUGCCUUUAAAAGAUGAAAUUGGUUAUGCUUUCAUUAAAACUGUGUCCACAUUUCAAAAAAGUUCAAAAAUAAAAGUAUUUUAAUUAUAAUGAAUUUGCGUUUAAUUUAAUUGUGACGAAACAAAAAACAUGCACAUCGGCAAAACGCUAUAUUUUGUGUAAAAAACUCUCAGCUUUCAGAAAAAAAUUCAAAUUUGAAGAAU